Molecule: long non-coding RNA, 899 nt
Filed under: Homo sapiens (human)
Lineage: Eukaryota; Metazoa; Chordata; Mammalia; Primates; Hominidae
Description: HSALNT0294318
Source: RNAcentral
UCCCUUUCACCGUCAUCCAUGAGAAGACACAGUGUUCCAUCCAGAGGAUGUAGCAUCAAGGCGUCAUCUUAAAAGCAGAGAAAAGACUCUUACUUGACACCAGAUGCCAGUGCAUUGAUCUUGGACUUCCCAGCCUCUAGAACUAUUUAGUUCAGCCUGGUGUGGAUGCAUUUCAGAAUCUGUGAAAAAUGGAAUCACAAUGCUGUGACAGCAGCAUUUCUGCCUGUGGUAUCUGUGAAGCAGGUAAACAGCCCUGGGACAAAGAACAGACUACGGGUAUUGCCUUCUUAAUCAACAAUAAAGUAUUAGUUGGCUUCCAGGCAGACACCACUGACUUUCAAGAGAAAGGCACGGGAGUAAGGAAGUAAAGAAUUCAGGUGCUGCUUGAAAAUACAACAAACUGUCUUCAGAAUACUUUUAUGUGUUGUUGAAAGAAAGCACUGCAGCUAAUAUAGCUACAAAGGAGAAACAGUUAUUCUUAAAUGUCAUCUAUUUGCUGGACCUGAACAGGAAUUCACUAUGGAGCUCAUACAACUACCACCUUCAGCUAUUAAUCAAGGAGUCAUUCAACUGAGAAAGGGGAGAUUGAGAUGUUGAAUCAUUUCUCAUUCUGUGAAGUCUACCAGAAUAACCCAUAAAGCAAAUAUCAACCUAUUUCAAUUAGAAAAAUGAAAAAUACUGAUACAGCAGACGAAUUCUGGAACUAACACUUCCACAAAUCAUUGAUAAUCCAUUUUCCAACUUCUUCAAAUUCCAGACCAUCAACAAGCUAUUCAAAACAAUAAAUGUUAAUAGUUUUGGUGGAGUUAAGCAGCAGAAGUUAAAAGCAUUGUGGAAGACAGUAUGGUGAUUCCUCAAGGAUCUAGAAGCGGAAAUACCAUUUGACCCAGCAAUCCCAU